AAAGGAUGGUGAGGGCAUUUCUAAAGCAUUUCCAUAAAUCUCUCCCAACUCUCAUAUAUUGAUUCUCCUUCAAAUUGAGUAAAAAAACUGAUAUCAUUUCUAUGUUU
Dendrobium catenatum is the source of this 107-nucleotide small nucleolar RNA. The record is from RefSeq and is a predicted model, not a curated record. NCBI's taxonomy places the organism in Eukaryota, Viridiplantae, Streptophyta, Magnoliopsida, Asparagales, Orchidaceae.